Molecule: non-coding RNA, 6493 nt
Organism: Rattus norvegicus (Norway rat)
Lineage: Eukaryota; Metazoa; Chordata; Mammalia; Rodentia; Muridae
Source: RefSeq, a predicted model, not a curated record
AAACACACACAGGAAGUGUUAUGCAAGUGAGCACAGAGACGCACAGGCUCCUGCAGGAGGCCCCAUCUGAUGCUACAGGUCCCUGCCUCAGGAGCCCUCCAGUACUACAGCUGUGGCCACAGCUUGGCCAGAUGACAGACAGUACUGGUCAAACUUCAGGAUUGCACAAACCACCAGCCUGGAGUGACCUUGCCUUGUGGGAAAGCACAGAGGAGCCCAGGCUCCCACGCAGACGCAAACACAGAACACUCCAGCUCUAAUCUCCUGCUCACUUCUGCUGAGUCUGCACUGGUUUGGGACUAGAUGGAUGAAUCCCUGAACUCUUUCUACAUUACUCCAUGUCUGACCACAGCGGACCACCAUGUGCUGUGCAGGUGGCAAUGCCUGGCCUAGUUUCUGUCAUCAUUCGAAAGGGUCAGAUGCCUUCCACUGGCUUUUGAUAAUUCACACAGACUCAGGAAACAGGAAGAGAACUGAGCUCUGGUACUGCGGCUCCCCUCCUCUUCCACCUGGGUUACAUGUUUCUUGUUCAUGCAGAGAAGCUUCCAGAGUGGUCAAGAUGGUGAUGGGUGAUGGAUAUGGGUUCGGACAUCAGCAAAGCUGGAGUGGUAUUGGAUGGGAUGGCUUCAGAGUCACCAGGCUGAUCUCUGAGCAAAGUUCAGCAUCAAAGCGUGAUCUUUGACAAUUCGGGCUGACGCUCCACAGAUAGUACACAGGGCACAGCUUGUGAAACGACUCCAGCCAGCAUGUUCCUGCUAAGUCAGCCAAGAAACUACAUGAAAAAGAAACAGCCCAAGGCCAGCACCCAGCUGCUGUGAGGGCAGGAGAAGCAAGGUACCAUUCUGGGCAUACAAGAGGCAAUAAGCUUGAGUCACUCAGAUGCAGACUGUGUGAGCCAGGCAUGCUUUGAUGGCACACCAGGUCACAAACAGUCCUCUUAGGGCCACGUGGGCCCUGUUUGUGUAUCCUCUCCUUAGGUCUCUCAGCGCUCCCUCUUCCAUCAAGUAAAAGAGGAUGAUAAACCUGAAUCAUGAUUAUCUUGACUAGAGAUAGUGGAUAGCAGCUACCUGAAGGGGACCCUAGACCAGGGCAGAUAUGACCAUGAUGACCUCAAACCACAAGAGCACUAACAGAGCCAGACCCAGCUCUCCUCACCUUCACAUAAAGAGGGGGAAACAGAUUCAAGACUUCUUUUUCUACCUGAAGCCUGGUUAGGCUUGGAGUUUAGCAUUGCCACAGCAUCCUCUUAGGGCAAUACUCAUUGGAGAAAGAUUAUUAUUCCCUGGUUAGCACAGUAUUCAAGGUGUAGGAUUGAGUAGACACACACACGCACGCACACACACAGAGAGAGAGAGAGAGAGAGAGAGAGAGAGAGAGAGAAAUCGCACAGAGAGAGACAGAUCAUACACACAGAGACACACAAACCACACAGAAAGGCACACGUACACUGCACAUGCACACACUCAUAGACACACAUACAGAAAUAUACACAGAAAGAGACACACAGAGAUACCCACACAUAGACAAACACACAGAGAGAUACACACAGAGACAGACACACACACACACACACACACACACAUACAGAUACAGACAUAUACAGACUCAGAAAGAAAUAACCACACACAGACACACAGAGAGGCAGACAUACAUAAAUACACAGAUACACACUGAAAGACACAGAGAUACCCACACACAGAGAAAAACACACAAAAAUACACACAGAGAUAUACACACAGACACAUACAUAGACACAGAGAGAUAUACAUGCAGAAAUAUACACACAGAAACAUACACACAGAGUCUGAGAAAGAGAGAGAGAGAGAGAGAGAGAGAGAGACCUACACACAGACACACACAGAGAUACUCACACAGAGAGACAUACACCAUGAAAAUGAUACAUUCAGAGAGACUGAGACAUAGACAAACAGAGAUACAAAGAGAGACAGAGAGAGAGGCCAGUUUCUGGCAUCUACUUUCUAAUUAAAUGUAACAAACCAGUGGCUAAUCCAUGCAGUCACUAACACAGACAAUGUAGGUGGAGCUGUCCUGGUGGGGGGGGGGGUGUAAGGCCUUGGACUUCAAGGCUCUUCUUGGUUGGCAGCCUCUCCACUCCUAGGACAGCUACAGGUCCUUACCAAAAUGUCAAGUCUGGGUCAUCUACCCAUUCACAUUGACUCAACAGUCAAAAACUUCCUUUCUAUUGUGUGAGACUCAGACACGCUAUGGUUGAAUGUAGUCCAAAAGGUCAAGGGCUGGAAAAUUAACCUCCAGUUUCAUAGGCUCACGGAACGGAGGUGGGGACUCCGGGAGGCUGUUAGGGCAGAUGACGUCAUGAAAGUAGAGAUCCCAGGAUGGCAUGCGUGGCUCUUAAAGAAGAGGAAGAGAGACCCAGACUAGCACAUUUGUUCUGUCUCACCGUGCGCUAAGGCCUCUUGUGGCUCUUCUAGAGAACCCUAGUUCUGGUCCCAACACUCGUGCCAGGUGACUCGGAGUGCCUCUAACUCCUGCUUUAGAGAAUCUGACUCCUUUUGUUGGCUUCCAAGGGUACCUGAACAUGUGUCACACACACAUACACACACACACACACACACACACACACACAAACACACACACAAACACACACACGCACACGCACCCACUCUUACACAGACACAUAAAAACUAAUAAAAGAAACUUUUAAAAGUAUUUUUACUUAUUUUAAACAUUACUUAUUUAUUUUUAAACAAAACGUUGCAAGUAAAAUAACAAUGCAAAUUAGUCAAACCCAAAGACUGCACAACUUAAUAAGCUUCUAUACAGUUAGAGCAUGUUUAUAUAUUUUAAUAAUUUAUUUACCUUUAUUUUAUGUGCGUUGGUGCGAGGGUGUAAGAUCCCUGGAACUAAAGUUACAGAUAGUUGUGAACUGUCACCUGGGUGUGGGGAAUUGAACUUAAAUCCUUUAAAAUCCGGAUGCCUCUGAAAGCUGAAACUCUCUUUUUGGCUGUUAUUAAUUAAGGUGACAUGGCUGUGACAAUUACUCACUGAAACUUAAGGGAGGGAAGAUGGAUUUGUGCUUGUAGUUUCAGCCCGUCAUGGCAGCAGCAGUGAGAACACGCCAUGGAGUCUUUUCACAUCACGGCAGACCAGAAAGUAAAGAGACGGGAGCAAGGGGGGAGGGCUGAGCACGGCCUCCAAACGCCUGCUUGUGGAUGUGUGCGUGGACACUGAAACACAUCUGAGAGGGGGCUGCCUCAGGAGGAAGCCUUGAACUCGCUAUUGCCUGCAGAGGGAGAGAAGGGACUGCAAUGAACACAGAAGAAAACUGGAGUUGAGAGCGCACUUCUCAUAUACGAUGGAAUGCUCAGGCCACAUGUAAAACACACUGUGACCUCGAAGCAAAAGGUUAAUGACUGUUUCGCUCCCAUCACAAUGGGGGAGGACCUGAGCCUGGUGGAACAGGCCUUGAUCUCAGCACUUGAGAGGUGGAGGAGGCAAAAGCAUCGGGAGUUCAGGGUCAGCCUCAGCUCUGAGUUGAAGGCUAGCCUGGGCUAAUUGACCUUGUGAAAAGAGAGAGGCAGAGGAGGGGACAGAGACAAGGAGACAAAGAGUGACGGAGAAACAGAGUCAGAAGGCAGAAAAAGAAAGGGAGAAAGGGAGGGAAGGAGUGAGAAAAAGAAAGAAAGGAAGAUUAAACACAGUAUCAGUGUCAAGAGUCCCUGCAAGUUGGACCCUCCAUGUACCAUUAAUGGGAAUCUAGAUGGUGCAGACCCUGUGCAAAACAGUAUGGAGUGUCUUCAAAAAGUUCAAUGGAGAGAGAUGGCUCAGCAGUAAAGAGCAGCUGCUCCUGCAGGGGACCAGAGUUCAAUUCCCGGCACCUACUUGGUGGCUCACAACUGUCUCUAUCUCCAGUUCUAAGCAAUCCCACCCCAUCUCAUGACCACUGUGGGCAUGUGGUGCAUAGAUAUGUAUGCAGCCAAGACAUCCACAUACAUAAAAAGUAAAAAAUAAAUGAAAUGAAAAAGGACCGCAUGACCCAUUAAUUCUACUUUUGGGUGUAUAUCUGAAGGAAUUAAAAACAGGGAUACAAAGAGAGACGACUCGUCCAUGGUCAAAGAAGUAGCCUAAAAGUGCUUAUCACCAAAUACUCAGGUUUUGGAACCAAAUGGCUCCAGGGCAGAGGCUUCCUUUGCAGGACAGCAGCCACGGUCAGGGGCCUGUGAAUGGCCAGUGGGUCCAAACUGCUGUCAGUGAGGACUGUGAACACUGGGGCACAGAUGCAGAGCCCAAGACUCCCAGAAUCAGGCUGCUGGUAUCAGGAGUGCUGUCCAAAGGACCAUGAGCCCAGGCUGUCACAGUGCCAGCCUCCUCGAUGACUCAUAAGGGGUCAUAAUGAGAUGUUUGAGAUAGACCCCCUGUGUCUCUCAUGAGGAUCCCAAGCAGUGAAUGAGAGGCAAAUCUUCACCCUUAGGUUUUACCAUUUGGGUUUUUUUUCCCUCACUUUUUUUUUUAAGUCAAAAGAAGUGCUUUUCUUGUUCAGCUAAUUUGGACCGAUUUUAUGGUUUCCGCAAUUGAUUUAAGGUUUCUCCUUUCCAAUAAAAGGUGGCCCAAGAUGGUCUUCUAGUGCCAAGAGCUCCUGCCCAACAAGGAGGCAGAGGCACAAGUAUCUGUAAAAUUCCAACCCUAAAAAAAACCUACUCACUGCUCACACAUCCUCCAGGGCUCCUGUGAGCUCCAGCUUCCUCACGUGUACCCACAGCCCGGUUAAAAAGACAGGCCCAGCCUUGUUCAGCAAAGGGAUGAAUCACAGGGACAGUGACCAACAUGUUAGAAGAAACAAAGACCCUGUGGGAGUGGGAGAUAGCCCAAUAAAUGUAGAGUUUCCGAUGCCUGCCUUUAGGCUGGGAAAGGGAACUUCAUUUGUUCCCAGAUUCAAAGCGGUCUAUUCAACCACAGAGGGGCAAGGAAGAUCAGGGGAAAGAGACACCUGGCUUCCCUUUUGCCUUAGCUUCUCUGUUCAUCCAUCCUCACAGGCUCUAGGCUAAACCAGCCAGAAUUCGGAGGUAAUGAACCCUGGGGGAUAUAAUUUGCAAUAGGCAAAUACCAGCUACGCAGAGUCCUCAGGUAUGCAGACAAAGAGUCCCACAGCCCAUUGUGUGCAGGUGCUGUGGUGGGCCUGUAAUUGGCCUGGGUAGGAAUGAAGAUAUCCUAAGAAGAUAUCCCAGUCCAGUCUCUCAAUCUCAACAUCAGAAUGCUAAAACAAUAGGCCCUAAAGAUGUGGGAAUUACCCAAGGAUUCUCGUGAUGGGCAAAGUAAAGGGGGAGAUGGUCUGAGAAAGAGAUUCCACACAGUUCUAACAACUUGUGAAACCACCUUCCAGGAUGAGACUGAAGCCCAGGGACAGGUCAGUGGUGGGCAGGAUCACACCUUGGCCAGCACCUCUUUGGCCCUCUAUUUAUGCUUUGACCUCAGUUCAGGCCCCUGAAGACAGACUUAGGGAUGCUCACUGCAUUUCUUCUUUCCUCUUCCCAGUGUGGCCAUAUUGGAUAACGUCUUUCUUCUGCUUUCCAUGAUUAAUUUGGCUUUUUUAAUUGGCUUAGACUUCUUGAGAAUGAGUGGCCAGACCUAACUUGGGUGGAGGUGGUAAUCCCCCAAGUCCCAUAACAGCCCCAGCUCGGGGAGGCAUCUCUGUGCUUUUUCAUCUGUCCUGGUAUUUUUGUUUUACAUGACUGAGUCACAGACACAGGACUCCUGGAAUUUAAGCCUAAUGUUCUGAUUAUCCCAGGAAGCUUGUAUGUGUCUGGCUAUCUACCUGUGAACUUCCAAUGUAGUUUACACCUCUGGCUCCCUUUAUUGGGCUGAUCUCCCACAUGAAGACUCUCUGCUCUGCAAAUGUGGGCCCACUAGACAAGUACAUGAGAUACUGUUGUGUGGUAGACUUUUUCUGGGGAGACACAAACAUCUACUCACCCUAGAUGGAGAUCAGACAAUGGGCCAAAGUGUGGAGACCAUCAAAGUCCAACUUAGGGAACCAAUGAGUUUUAUUGGGGUUAUUUAUAGAAAUACAGUUAAGGGUUUACAUACUGGAGUGGAAGUGACUCAACGACAGCUUUGACACGAAAGCCCACCCCCAGCAUAGGUCACAUCUCACAAAAGCUGGAGAUCUAGAGCACACUGCACAGCCUACAGGCAGCUCAGAAGGCUGGAGAAUUGCACUUCCAGAUGAUUCAUUUGAUCUGAGACUCCUCCAGGCAGUUCAGCUGGUCUCUGCUUCUCCCAGGCUGCUUGGUGGCUCUUUGCAGCUUGGCUUGUUGGAGAGUGACUCUCAGCAGUCCUUACUGCUUACUUACUAUUGAGGAGGGAGGAGCCUUGUGACUCUACCAGUUUCAGGGACUUCCUGAAGCUAUUUUGAGUUGUUUACUUCCGGUCCUCAAGAGGUCCCUGUAGUAUUUCACCUCCCUGUAAACAUCCAAUCCUUCCAAGAUUGAAGGUUUUAAUAGAGGAGGAAAGUGCU